Molecule: ribosomal RNA, 451 nt
Filed under: uncultured bacterium
Lineage: Bacteria
Description: bacterial SSU rRNA
Rfam family: Bacterial small subunit ribosomal RNA
Source: RNAcentral
GAGCGGUAACAGGUGUAGCAAUACAUGCUGACGAGCGGCGAACGGGUGAGUAAUGUUUCGGAAUCUGCCCAAUGGUGGGGAAUAACCAGCCGAAAGGUUGGCUAAUACCGCAUAAGUCCUACGGGAGAAAGCGGGGGAUCGUAAGACCUCGCGCCGAUGGAUGAGCCGAAACCGGAUUAGCUAGUUGGUAGGGUAACGGCCUACCAAGGCGACGAUCCGUAGCUGGUCUGAGAGGACGACCAGCCACACUGGGACUGAGACACGGCCCAGACUCCUACGGGAGGCAGCAGUGGGGAAUAUUGGACAAUGGGGGAAACCCUGAUCCAGCGACGCCGCGUGUGUGAAGAAGGCCUGCGGGUUGUAAAGCACUUUUAGUGGGGAUGAAAAGCUCANGGGCUAAUACCGCUGAGUCUUGACCUAACCCAAAGAAAAAGCACCGGCUAACUCUGUG